This 899-nucleotide ribosomal RNA is filed under the name uncultured Wilmottia sp. Its description in RNAcentral is "bacterial SSU rRNA". It matches the Rfam family "Bacterial small subunit ribosomal RNA", at positions 94 to 1025 of the family's 1533-position model. Lineage: Bacteria; Bacillati; Cyanobacteriota; Cyanophyceae; Coleofasciculales; Wilmottiaceae. The record is from RNAcentral.
AGUGGCGGACGGGUGAGUAACGCGUGAGAAUCUGCCUUCUGGUCGGGGACAACCACUGGAAACGGUGGCUAAUACCGGAUGAGCCUACGGGUAAAAGAUUUAUUGCCAGAAGAGGAGCUCGCGUCUGAUUAGCUAGUUGGUGAGGUAAAGGCUCACCAAGGCAUCGAUCAGUAGCUGGUCUGAGAGGAUGACCAGCCACACUGGGACUGAGACACGGCCCAGACUCCUACGGGAGGCAGCAGUGGGGAAUUUUCCGCAAUGGGCGAAAGCCUGACGGAGCAAGACCGCGUGAGGGAGGAAGGCUCUUGGGUUGUAAACCUCUUUUCUUGGGGAAGAAAAAAAUGACGGUACCCAAGGAAUCAGCAUCGGCUAACUCCGUGCCAGCAGCCGCGGUAAUACGGAGGAUGCAAGCGUUAUCCGGAAUUAUUGGGCGUAAAGCGUCCGCAGGUGGCACUUCAAGUCUGCUGUCAAAGGUCGGGGCUUAACCCCGGAAAGGCAGUGGAAACUGAAGCGCUAGAGUGUCGUAGGGGUAGAGGGAAUUCCCGGUGUAGCGGUGAAAUGCGUAGAGAUCGGGAAGAACAUCGGUGGCGAAAGCGCUCUACUGGACGACAACUGACACUCAGGGACGAAAGCUAGGGGAGCGAAUGGGAUUAGAUACCCCAGUAGUCCUAGCCGUAAACGAUGGAUACUAGGUGUGGCUUGUAUCGACCCGAGCCGUGCCGUAGCUAACGCGUUAAGUAUCCCGCCUGGGGAGUACGCGCGCAAGCGUGAAACUCAAAGGAAUUGACGGGGGCCCGCACAAGCGGUGGAGUAUGUGGUUUAAUUCGAUGCAACGCGAAGAACCUUACCAGGGCUUGACAUGUCUGGAAUCUCCUUGAAAGGGGAGAGUGCCUUCGGGA